This is a Y RNA of Ailuropoda melanoleuca (giant panda), 102 nucleotides long. It matches the Rfam family "Y RNA". From Rfam's summary of the family: Y RNAs are components of the Ro ribonucleoprotein particle (Ro RNP), in association with Ro60 and La proteins. The Y RNAs and Ro60 and La proteins are well conserved, but the function of the Ro RNP is not known. The record is from Ensembl. NCBI's taxonomy places the organism in Eukaryota, Metazoa, Chordata, Mammalia, Carnivora, Ursidae.
UGCUGGUUUGAUUGCAGUGGUAUUUACAAUUAAUUGAUCAUAGCCAGUUAUGGAUUUCUUUGUUCUUUCUCCACCUCCACUGCUUCAUUUGACUAGCCUUAA